GCAGACUGAACACAGACGUUGUGCAGUAUUCAGAAGCUUGCUUUGUCUGAUGUUUGUCGGGCUAACUUGUUUCACUGUCUCAGCUGGUGUGCGACACACAACCCGACUUUCCUAAAUUUACAGCCCAUGAGACCACUGAGUUGUUCCAACACAUCGGUGUGCCUCGGAGCAUUCAGCACGGGCUGCAGUACCAGGAAGAAGGCUACAGGAACCGUGGGUACACAGACAGAUGCUGCUUUGAAAUCUGUUGGUUUGGUCAGCACCUGUAACAAUACAGUGCAACACAACACUGCUGCAGCUAGCAGCAGUGAGGUCUGUUGAAGUACAGACCGAAAACCCUAUAGAACAUAGUGCUCCUGACAGUGCGGCGUAGAACGUUAUCUCCUGCGCAGGCUGUUCCCUGAGAACUUCCACCAUGCUCAGUCUUCAAUUUUGAACAUCUCACGCACUGAGGAAUGCAACACUGAAGAUGACCAGGUCUGUGCAGACAAGUAGUCUACAUUACCAGUCAACUCCAAUAAGAGUGUGUCUAUAAGUAAAAGUGAGCACACAGCACAGGACACAGGAGAUUGUCUUGAAAUCAGAGGCAAUCCUUUUUUGAUUGAGAGAAGAGCAUGGCAAAGUUACGCCGAACGAGCUUCCCCCAGAAAAUGUCCAAGUCAUUGCUGAUAUUUUUCACCUGGGGAGCUAGACAGAGAUGCGAUGUACUACCCCUCACUGGAUGAGAGUUUCCUU
Long non-coding RNA from Ornithodoros turicata, 735 nucleotides. RefSeq lists it as uncharacterized. The record is from RefSeq and is a predicted model, not a curated record. The transcript has 5 exons. Lineage: Eukaryota; Metazoa; Arthropoda; Arachnida; Ixodida; Argasidae.